AGGUGGGGCUAAUGACUGGGGUGAAGUCGUAACAAGGUAGCCGUACCGGAAGGUGCGGCUGGAUCACCUCCUAACAGGGAGACAACAAAAUGUAAAUAUUAAUUUUGUCACCUUAGGUCGAUCGGUAUCUCAGAUUCUUAAUUUUUAAGAAUUUCAUUUCCUAAGUUUUUUCUAGGUCACACCCAUCACUUUUUCCUGGGCCAUUAGCUCAGGUGGUUAGAGCGCACCCCUGAUAAGGGUGAGGUCCCUGGUUCAAGUCCAGGAUGGCCCAUAUCUCUAUGUUGGGGGUAUAGCUCAGUUGGUAGAGCGCCUGCUUUGCAAGCAGGAUGUCAGCGGUUCGAGUCCGCUUACCUCCACUGAAUACCACCUCUUACAUAUUUUUAAAGAGGGAAAUUGUUUUGAGUCGUGUCCUAUAGCUCUGAUCGAAUCUAGCUUCCUAUUUUAUUUAAUAAAUAAGAUGCUGGACUCACUGAAUUAUUAUUCAUUGUUUUCAGAGAACCUUGACAACUGCAUAGAUUAUUUUUGAAGACAAUAAGCAUCUUUAAUGAUGCAGAUUUAUUAUUUGUGCGAAUGCAUUAAAUAACAAUUCUAUUAAGCUGAUGCUUCAAUAUUUGAAGUUAUUGGUCAAGCUACAAAGGGCUCACGGA
Molecule: unclassified non-coding RNA, 647 nt
Filed under: uncultured Prochlorococcus sp.
Lineage: Bacteria; Bacillati; Cyanobacteriota; Cyanophyceae; Synechococcales; Prochlorococcaceae
Description: partial may contain 16S ribosomal RNA, 16S-23S ribosomal RNA intergenic spacer, and 23S ribosomal RNA
Rfam family: tRNA (bases 284-356)
Source: RNAcentral